Molecule: non-coding RNA, 7313 nt
Organism: Coturnix japonica (Japanese quail)
Lineage: Eukaryota; Metazoa; Chordata; Aves; Galliformes; Phasianidae
Source: RefSeq, a predicted model, not a curated record
GAGCACGGUGUACAGUCUGGACACUGCAGAACCUGUAUCUGUCCUGUUAGGGCUGAACAGAUAAAACAGCUGUUGACUCCUACUUUUUAGUACCAGCUCUCAACAGAAGCCAAAGCAAACACACUCCUAUCUCACUAUUACCUGUCUGUGAAGUAGCUUCCCUCUUUACCUAGUUCCUUGGCAAAACAUGAUUUUAUCUGCUCCAGUAUGGUCAAAAAUACUACGUAUAAGUAAAUACAAGCCUGAAGGCUCCAUAGUGACAGUACCACUUGCCUUCGUGUGCCUUCAGGUACUGCCCUGUGGACAAAGACCAGCAGUUCAGCCCCCCUCCCCUCCCUGUGCUGGUGUUUCUGAAGUGUUCCCAUCUUAGGUGAUUUUCUAAGUAAUAGGUUUUGAGUGACUAUGGGAUGCUUCUGCCAAGCAAUAUAAAUCAAAUUUUGCAUACCUCAUACCAAUCUAUACAGUCACGCAUUGAACUGUAUCCAUUCAGCUCUUCCUGUUGCUUCCAUAUCUCUAGAAAUAUCCUGAGUCAAGAUGCCAGCCCUUCCCGCACCCCAUACUCCAGAGGCUGGUCUGCUGAAUGAUGGCUGUAUCUGCCCUGAGGACAUUGUGAGCCCCAUUCCCAGUUAUAAGCUGCAGAUAUAGCAUCUCCUCCCUUACGUAUUUCUGUCUAUGGAAAGAAAACCAAGGAAGUAUGAGGCCAGAUGGGGUGUGAUGACUUUCCACCAGGUCCCUGAACAAUAACCCAGGGAUCAGAUGUCAGGGUUCACUGUGAAGUACUCAUACCACAAAGCAAAGUUUCCAUAGGCACUGAAGUGACCUUAGGAGCCAACACUUGGAAACAGCUUUUUGCUUUAAAAACUAGUGAGCUUCCCACAUCAUUACUGCACUUCAUGCAAUGACAUGGCCUAAAAGAACUUGGCAGUUUUCACCUCUCAGGGAGAGUUCUGGACAUUCUUCUCCUUGAAUCCCCUUCUAACCCUCUUUCUCCUUCUGUGAACCUUCCUCCUGGUUUAAACUCUCAGUUAAAAAUAGAGAUUUUUCCCAUAAAGAACCUAGCUCUGGAAGUUGCUUGCACAGGUUGGUCUACUUUGAUUUUUUUGUGUGCACUCAAGAUACUCCUGUCUGGAAAAUAACUUCUGAGCAUGCAAAGGAGGUUGCUUCAUUAAUACAAUGGUGCACACCUGCUAACUGCAGUUAAAGAGAUCUUCAUGUAUUACUACUGAAACUGGCAGCAAUUAAUAGAACAAAUGAUUCAUCUUCCAAAGCCCAAACAGACAAAUGGUCUCUCUGGCUGCCUUUAUGCUUUCUAAUCAGCUUACUGUUAGAGCACAUUUUUUGCACAGCCCACUUGCAUUCAACCUUUCUGCACUUUUGGUGGUUCAUUACCUUAUGUUUGGAAGUAGCUAGACCUGUGCCGGUACAAAAAGGCUGCCCAGCAACUUCUAGUAAUGACAGAGAUGUCAGCAGCACCCAGCUGGCUUGACUCAGCUCAUCCAUACCUUUCAAACAUGCCUUCAGAGGUAAAUAGAAACACCUGCCUGUCUGGGAGGUGUCAAAUGGUGCUAGGGAGAGGCUUCAAAACUGGGCCUUACUGAGUAAAAUGGCUUUGGGAUGGCAUCCUGGUUGGGUACAUUUGUAUGUGAAGAUGCCUUAUGGAUGGGAAGGGCUGUCUGUAGAGUGGCAUGACAAUGCAGACAGGACUGUUGCUAAAGGCUGUGCUGAAGACACAGGAUGUGGUAUGUGCCACCUGCUUUCUGAAACAAGAGGUAUGUGAGGUGGGGGCCAGGCUGCUGAAAUGCUGCUUAAUGCUGCUCUGAGCUUGAGUUUUGUGAUCCAAGAAACCCAAAGCUGAAUUUUGAUGACUUUUAUAACUUGGGGAGAUGUAACCUGUAGCAUUUCUCUGUGGAGCUGCUUGCAGUCCUAUCCUGGUAAACUUGGUUUCUAAUAACAGAGCAAUUUUAAGGUUGUUAUAGUAAAUAUAAGUGGUGAAGAUCUUCCAGGUGCCGUGUAAUGAUUGCAUUUUAAAAAUAAUCUGUGGAUUAGAAAGAACACAUUAAAUCAAACUCUUUGCAGUCAUCUGAGACUCAAUAUCUUGAUGCUUUUGAAAUAACAAGGGCUGAUGUUCUGGCAAACCUUUCCUCCCCUGAUCCUUGUUUCUUAGGCCAGCUUUACCUUGUCAUGAUUGUAGCCUAUGCUAAGAAGCUAAUCAAUAGCUGGGUGAAACAGACUGGAAGAUCUCUGGAGCAGCCUAUAAUGCUACUAAUCUCUUAGAAUAAAGACCCAGUUUUGAAGAUGUGUACUGCUUGAAUAACUGUUUGCUCCAAAAUGUUACUCUGCAUUUCCAUCAUUUGAAUGUUUCCCCUCCUAUUCGCAAGUUCUUCACCAGGCAACACUACUGUGCUUUGUAAAUAAGAGUGCGUAACAGACAGUGAUUUUAUCCUCAUGGUCUCUUACGAGGUCUUUAUUUUCUAUCAAGUUCAAAGCAGUUCUGUGUAGAUAAAAGGUUUGUGCUUCAGAUUCACUGUUUCUUUUUGCCACUGAAUUUUUUCAUCUAUAUCAAGUCAUUAUCCCUCUCCAGUUCUUUCCAGACAUCUCCUUCUCUAGCUGCUUCUUUGUACUUCAGUCGAUGGGAGCUUCAUCAGCUCAAGUACAUUAGGAAUUAAGCUGAGAGCAAGUAUGCUAUGAAAAUUCCCAUUAUUUCCUGAGAUAAGCAUCCAUCAGAAACAAAACACACACAAAGAUGGAAAGGAAUCAAGUGUAUGCUGGGUAAAACAAGGAAACAGGCAAGUGUGGGAGUGAGGGGAAGAUUUGUUAAACUUGCAUUCAACUCGGUGGAAAGAGAAUGCUGCCAAGACAGUCUGUAUCUGAAAUCAGCAUACAGUGCUUUGGGAUGGUGAUUGUCAGUCUGCUAUUUCCCAUUUUGUUUAAUUUUUAAUCCAAAUUGUGUACUAAAAAUAGGGAGCAUUUUGGAGCUGAAAAGAUGUGAGUAGCAGAAGGAGGAAAAAACAGAACAUGCAGAAGGAAUGCUGCUGUAGCUGAAACAGCUCUGUUGGGAUUUCUAGCUCUGUAUGUCAGUCAUUUGUGGUUAUAGAAUGCAGACUUACCUUAUCUGGGCCAUUGCGGCAGGGAGACACUGUGGUAGUCCCUCUGUAAAAUAAAUGAUAAGUCAUAUCCUGUGAACAUAGAGGGAUGGUUGCAUUCCUCUUUGGACAACCAUAACUGGAAUAUGUUAUGGAAUAUGGGCAACAAUUCACCCAUCCUGUUCCUAACGAAGUAAUAUUUCUACAGCUACUACCAUUCCUUUUCAUGUGUCUGAAGAGCUUUGCACUGCUAUUUGUUAAUAGCAGCAAGUUUUUACUUUUGGGGAAGUUUUUACAGAAGUGCUGGAGCCUCCUGUUUUCAGUUAGCAUUGCUUCAGCAUGGCUAGUUUGUCCUGGAUGGGAAAGCCAGGAGAUGUUUAUCUGGAUAGGAUUGUGAAACCUUUAUGUUUAUGCAUUAGCCUCCUCUCCAGAGAAGACUGUGGAAUAUCUUGCCUGAAGUCCCAACUCAGCAUCUCUUCUGAAGAGGCCCCUUAAAAAGCAGAGCAAUCUCCUCUAGGCUAAGCAAGGAAAAUCAGCUGGAGGAGUUAAAAAGAAAAAGCAGAGGAAACCUAAUCUCAUCUUUGAACAGAUGUGCCUCCUGAGUCUCCAAAGUCCUCUAGCAUGAGUGCAAGCAUGUGGUGCAGAGAGUACUGAUUUCAGCAGCCAUCGGAGGUUCUGCUGCCUCUUCUGACUUCCAUGCGGUAUGUUGAGACUGUUGCCUUUGGCUUUCCACAGAGCAGCAGAUUCUGGGUGACAGCAGUGCAAAACAGGAAACUUCCAGAAAUUCAGAUUUUGUUUGGGUCCAGGAUUCACAAAGUUUUGUGAUCUGCAUCAUAAUCUCAAAUUGGUGCCUAAUUUUGGAGGACCUUUGUUUAAAGGUGUAUGGGAACUGUUGAGUCAUGGCCUGAACUACUGACUGAGUACCUGGGGAAAGGACCAUACCAGCCCUGGAAGUGCAGGUGAAGGCAAUUCAGCUCUGUAAGCAGAAGUUAUAGAUUGUGUUGAUCCGACCAAUUGCUACAAAGGACUAAAAUGCAUUUAUCUAUAUGGCAUUAAAUUUUAUAUCAUUUGGAAAAUUGCUAAGCCCCCCCUGCUCCCCCCACUCCUCCUUUCCAGAGGAUGGGAGAUAUGAAGCUUACUUAAGUUUCUCCAACUAUGCCCACCUAGAAGAAUCAUACCUUGUCAAAACAGCUUCUUCCUUGGAAAAUGCUGGCUCGUUUAACUAGAGCACAAGAUAUUUUAAAAUCAUGUUCCACAUGUUUUGUUUUCUACCACUUUUAAGUCUAAUAACCAGUUUUUGUUGAGAGUAACCAGGGAAAACAAAAGGGAUUUAAGUGCUUAAGUCAGUGGACCAUAGCUUUCUGAUUUAUGAUGGCAGUGAUAGAAAUUAGCCACUAAGAGGCUUCCAGAUACACCACCUGAUGUCUGCUUAGAGAUCCUGCUUAACUCUUUAAAAAUCUAGCCCCAUGAAUGUUAGAACUGUGUGGCGUACUUGAAAGCCCUCUGUGGAACUGUCAGUUGAGGAAUUGGCUUUCUUCUCCCAGAGUGCUUAGAAAAGUGGGUUGUAGGUUUUUCUUAUGUAUGUUUUUUUUUUCCCUUCCUUAAUGUGCUUUGGAAGUGACAGCAAUUUUGGAGUUACAACCAGCUGUAAGCACCCAGGGCUCAAUAAGGAUGCUUUCUUUCUGAGAGGAAAGGAUCCAGCUGAGCACUGAGCCAGGUGAGGCUCCAGAAGGCAGUGGACUGUGUCCAGCUCUGGUGUGAUAGACUGCUGGUUCCUGAGCUGCAGCGUGCACUACAAACCUGAUGUGAUUAUGCCCUUAUCAUGUUCUGAAAUUCAUGUACGUCUUUAUAGCUGAAUUGGUUCCCAAACAUGACAGUCCCUCUUGUCUUCUGUCACUGCUGAGUAAAAGACAUUGGGGACAACUGGAAGCAAAUUACUGGUAUGGCUGUAACUGAGCAGUCAGCCACAAGCUGAGCUUAAAGCUGUUCCAACUGCAACCAGAAGCUGCUCUGUGGAGGUGUGUGUUUGGACCAUACUGCGUGUUGUCUCUGUAAAAGAGGAUAGCAGGGCUACGUGUGCUCUGUCUGUUCUCCUUGGCAUCCCUGCAGCUUGACUUCUCUUGCAGGUGGGUGCUGGAAAACUUGAACCUUCCAGGGCUCAGCCCUUGUAGGUGGGAGGAAGUUAAAAGAAGACUUCUCUUGCAUCUUUCACUGAAAGAAUUCCCCAGUCAGGUCUGAAGUUCACCACGAGCAGUGGAAAACUAGCCUGCUGUGUAGGAUCACCUGGAGCAACUGCUCCUCACAGUCAGAACUAACUCCUGAUAUCCUGAUGACACAUCAGGAUGGCAAUCCUUUAACACUCACAGAGUGGUUUUUAUCUUCUAAGCAUUAUGAAUAUUAGCUAAUAAAUCCUCACAAAGCCUGAGGGAGUUACAGAGGUAUUGUUAUAAGCUGGGGCCAGCAAAGCAUUUCAGUUGUAGUUGUGCCUCAUGCUGUGGCUACUGCUGGCAUGGGUUGGGGCAGAGAUUAAAAUGUUACAAACUAAAAAGCACUCUCCUUUUGUCCUCCAACAACUGACAGUUCGGUGAGGCUCUUCACAGAGCAGGAGGACCUGGGAUGCAAAACCAAGUGGGGCUGUGUCUGCCCAGCCUAGAGCAGUGCUGCCAGCUGCAGCCGCUGCCUGCUAACCAGUGGCUCCCAGGCUACACGUGGGGAGCUGGGGCACUGCUGAGCCUCUGGUGGGGCUGCACAGUGCAAUGCCCAGAAACCCAGUGCCAGCUCCUGCUGGAGCCUGUGUCUGCACACCUCAGCAGAAGGCACAAGUAGCUCUGUAGGAGUGGCACAUGCUGCAAUUGCAGUACAGAAACUGCAGCCCUUUCUUGCUGUGUCUUCCAGAGCCCUAUUAGCAGGGGUGAAGCAGCAGCCUUGGAACAUCUUGCUGCCCUGAUAGAAAGGAAAUAUGCUCCUCUUUAGCAUAGAUAAGGGCCAUCUGUGCAUGGCUGAAGUGAGAUAACAUUUAGGAACCUCCCAGGAUAUUAAGGCGGCACUUUUCUUUGGAGUCUCGUGCUGUUCAGGCUCAUGGCAGUGCUCCCUUUGAACUCUCUGUGGUUUGUAGUUCUCACCACUUGCUCAAAAUGAAGCAGAAUGCAAUGGUUCAUCUAAUAUUAUGGCUCAAGGAGAGUGUAUGUAACAGUACCUGUGCUGAUAUGAGCCAGUUGGUGUUUGGACAUCACAGGCCUCUGCAUGGUGCUCCCAAAGGAGCACAUGUAUUUUGCUAAAUCCAUCCAUCAAUAAAACUUAUGCUACCUGCUUCUAGAUGUCUUUCAGCAUUUCUGCCACUGAAGAUCUUCUUCUCCGGCCUCAAGUCAAAAAAUCUUUGUGGCAGAUUUGGCGUUGCCUGUAAUAAUUUAUGAACGUGAUGUGUUGACAUGUUUACUGUGUGCAUACAUUGAGCUACUUCAAUCGCUGCCUUGUCAGGAAGUGUACCCAGGAGAGAACAGAUGAAUCCAGGCACGUGGUUUGGAGGAAACACUGGGGAGCUGAAGCAGAAGUGCCCUUUGCUGUGACAUUUUGGCUGUGCCCCUGCUGGGCUCACAGGAGAGGUUUCCCUGGGAGGACAUGGGUGCCCUGGAGAAUUCACAGUGAACCAUUUAAAUGGAGACUUUGGAGAGCAAGAACCCAAAAGGGAAUGGAAGUGCUCAGAUCUACAGGUAUCUAAUUCAGUAUGUGUUGGCAAAACUGCAAGAUAAAGUGGAUGAGGAAUGUUUUUUUUAACUGCCGUGCCUUAUUUCAGUGGUUAAAUGGCUCUUCUGUUUUAUUAAUAUCAUUUGGGCUGUUCAAGAGAGCUCAAUGCUUCUGUUCCCAUGUCCAUGUGGGAGCACGGUGAUUGUGCUGGGUAGGCUGGCUGAAGUUUGGCAAAGCCUGCAUGCAGGAAGGUGAGAGCCUGAGGUCUGGCAAAAGCAGAAGGGAAGACAGAAAGAGCACUGACAGCUGAGAUCCGGCAGUAACCAUAACAAUACCAUCAUCUUUCUUAAAAGUCCCAGCACGUAAUUCUACUAAUGACUUUUAUUAAACAUUUAAGCCUUAGCCUUGAAAUGAUUCGUAUUUGUUACAAAGCACCAUCCCAUUAACACAAAGUACAAGCUGAAACAAAGUUAAUGAGCCCUAGUGCUUGCCGGAUAAUUCAAAGUUUGAGUGAUAUUAACAAAAAUAAAGUAAGGAAGAAAUCUA